Molecule: long non-coding RNA, 210 nt
Filed under: Elaeis guineensis (African oil palm)
Lineage: Eukaryota; Viridiplantae; Streptophyta; Magnoliopsida; Arecales; Arecaceae
Description: long non-coding RNA (EGUI_LNC009308)
Source: RNAcentral
AUGUGGAGUUCUUCAACUCAGGCUUGCAUCAGAAGUUGAUAUUUAGCAAAAUUUAAUGGGAUUUGGGUCAGGUUGUUUUGAUCAAGUCAUCUGUGCCCCAAUUCAUGAGGUUGGGAUGUUUUCGAUCUAAAAUUUUAUGGAAGUCUUGACUUAGGUCGGGAUAUCUCCUUGCGGUCAGCAUGUUACCAAACACUCAUUUGGAGGUCCUAG